RNAcentral lists this ribosomal RNA (253 nucleotides) under uncultured bacterium. Its description in RNAcentral is "partial 16S ribosomal RNA". It matches the Rfam family "Bacterial small subunit ribosomal RNA", at positions 524 to 776 of the family's 1533-position model. The record is from RNAcentral.
GACGAACCUUGCUAACGUUAUUCGGAAUUACUGGGCGUAAAGGGCGCGUAGGCGGCGACUCAAGUUAGAUGUGAAAGUCCUGGGCUUAACCUGGGGACUGCAUUUGAUACUGGGUUGCUUGAAUUCGGGAGAGGAUAGCGGAAUUCCCAGUGUAGAGGUGAAAUUCGUAGAUAUUGGGAAGAACACCGGUGGCGAAGGCGGCUAUCUGGACCGACAUUGACGCUGAUGCGCGAAAGCCAGGGGAGCAAACGGG